This 73-nucleotide transfer RNA is filed under the name Cordylochernes scorpioides. RNAcentral describes it as "tRNA-Thr". Lineage: Eukaryota; Metazoa; Arthropoda; Arachnida; Pseudoscorpiones; Chernetidae. The record is from RNAcentral.
GUCCAGGGGCGGGAAUCGAACCCACAACCUUCCGCUUACCGGGCAGAUGCCAUGUCCACUAGGCUACCCUAGU